GUAGGUGAACCUGCGGAAGGAUCAUUACUCAUUUUGUAUUGCGCUCCUGUGCUUGCACUCGACCACAAUAUAAAAGAAAACUCUUUUUCACCAAACCGCGCUCUUUUUCUUUUUUCACCCCAUCCUUUACAACUUUAUAUUUAUUUUCGACUGAAACCUUUGGCUUACUUUUAAUUUAAGUUUGUCCAUCUAAAUACUUGUCUCUCGCAAGCGUCCAUUUAUUUGGGCCUUUGCAGCGUCAGUAUUUUUCCAUAACAAGAAUUCAAAAACAAUUCUUACCAAUGGAUAUCUAGGCUCUC
This 299-nucleotide unclassified non-coding RNA is filed under the name rhizosphere metagenome. Its description in RNAcentral is "partial ribosomal RNA internal transcribed spacer region". The record is from RNAcentral.